RNAcentral lists this ribosomal RNA (254 nucleotides) under uncultured bacterium. RNAcentral describes it as "partial 16S ribosomal RNA". It matches the Rfam family "Bacterial small subunit ribosomal RNA", at positions 524 to 776 of the family's 1533-position model. The record is from RNAcentral.
UACGUAGGGUGCAAGCGUUGUCCGGAAUUAUUGGGCGUAAAGAGCUCGUAGGCGGUCUGUCGCGUCUGCCGUGAAAACCCGAGGCUUAACCUCGUGGCUUGCGGUGGAUACGGGCAGACUAGAGGUAGGUAGGGGAGAAUGGAAUUCCCGGCGUAGCGGUGAAAUGCGCAGAUAUCGGGAGGAACACCGGUGGCGAAGGCGGUUCUCUGGGCAUUACCUGACGCUGAGGAGCGAAAGUGUGGGGAGCGAACAGG